RNAcentral lists this ribosomal RNA (773 nucleotides) under uncultured Neocallimastigales. RNAcentral's name for it is "partial large subunit ribosomal RNA". It matches the Rfam family "Eukaryotic large subunit ribosomal RNA", at positions 26 to 644 of the family's 3401-position model. Lineage: Eukaryota; Fungi; Neocallimastigomycota; Neocallimastigomycetes; Neocallimastigales. The record is from RNAcentral.
CGCAUCUGUGCAUGCAGCAUAUCAAUAAGCGGAGGAAAAGAAACUAACAAGGAUUCCCCUAGUAACGGCGAGUGAAGCGGGAAGAGCUCAAAUUUGAAAUCUUAAAGGGUUUCCCUUUACGAGUUGUAGUUUAAAGAAGUGUUUUCUGUUGAGGUUUUGGUAAAAGUUCUUUGGAAUAGGACAUCAUAGAGGGUGAGAAUCCCGUAUUUGACCUUUACUUUCAACUUUGUGAUACACUUUCAAAGAGUCGGAUUGUUUGGGAAUGCAGUCCAAAAUGGGUGGUAAAUUUCAUCUAAAGCUAAAUAUUGGCGAGAGACCGAUAGCGAACAAGUACCGUGAGGGAAAGAUGAAAAGAACUUUGAAAAGAGAGUUAAACAGUACGUGAAAUUGUCAAAAGGGAAGCGUUUGACACCAGUGUUGUUUUUCUGAAAAUCAAUUAAAGAACUGUUUAUGCUAAGCUGUUUAGACUUUAUCAGCUAUCUGUUUAGUUUGAGCUUUUCUUUAAUACACUUUUCAGUUAACAAGUCAACAUCAAUUUCUUUUGCUGUAAAAAAGCUUGAGGAAGGUGGCUUGAGAUUCGUCUUAAGUGUUUAUAGCCUCUUGCCUAUGCAGUCGGAGAGAUUGAGGUCUGCAGCGUAGAUCCUUCGGGGCUAAAUGCAUUUGUGCUAAGUUAUAGCAUUUUAUAGACAACUUGUUGACUAUGAUUUGUCUUGUAGCUUACUCGCUUAUGUUAUUUUACCUACGCUUAGGAUGUUGAUAGUCACAGCGUGUAC